Molecule: long non-coding RNA, 871 nt
Organism: Felis catus (domestic cat)
Lineage: Eukaryota; Metazoa; Chordata; Mammalia; Carnivora; Felidae
Exons: 3
Source: RefSeq, a predicted model, not a curated record
CUUAACCCAGCCUAAGCAGGAAAGAUUCAAGAUGAAGGAUUUAUAGAAGAAAUUACUAUCUAGAUAGGUAUUAUACACACUAAGAAUUUGCCUGUGUUAUGAGCUGAAUUGUGUCCCCACUAACACUCAAAAGUUGAAGUCCUACCAGUUCUUCAGAAUGUGCCCAUAUUGUAGAGAUCUUUUUUAAAGACAUACUUAAGUUAAAAUGUGGUCAUUUGGGUGAGCCCUAAUCCAAUAUGACUUGUGUUCUUGUAAGAAAUGGGAAUUUGGACACCAAAGGAUACGCAAGGAAGAUGAUGUGAAGAUACAGGGAGAAGACAGCCCUCUACAAUCCAUCAACCCUGUCAAUACCUUGAUCUUGGAUUUCUAGCCUCUAGAACAGUGAAGCCAUAAACUGGUGUUGUUUAUUUAAUCUACCCAAUCUGUAGUACUUUGUUAUGGCAGUCCUUGCAAACAUAUAUUCUGAUUUCUUUUUCAGGAUAAAGCUCAGAUCUUUCUAAGUAGAGACAAGAGAAUAUGUAAAACAACUAAUGAUGAAAGAUCACAACUUAUUUGGGAAACUUUUAACAUGUGAAACCUGGUAUGAAGGCACUGAAGACAGACUGUAACUUUAACAGUAUGAAAGAGUUUUGCUGCCACCUAAUGGAAAGCCUCAUCUUCUGCCCUUAUGGAGACCCCACCAUGAUGGAGUUCAUAAGCUAAACCACAAGGUACUUAUUCCAGGUUGGAAAAAGCCUGUUAUCUGGCAGGUAGAAAAGGAGACAAGUUAUCAGAGGGCCUGGCAGCAGCAGGCACUGCCAAUGCUUGUUGAACGAGUGAUCAAAUGAUGAGUAAACGGAUGAGCAUCAGCAAUACAGUGGACGAAAGGAGU